RNAcentral lists this non-coding RNA (284 nucleotides) under Candidatus Brocadia. Lineage: Bacteria; Pseudomonadati; Planctomycetota; Candidatus Brocadiia; Candidatus Brocadiales; Candidatus Brocadiaceae. The record is from RNAcentral. RNAcentral also lists the same sequence under 1 other name.
AAUAAAUUACCCAUUACAGGUGUUCCAAUAUAUUCAUUGGGACGAAAAAGGGAAUCCCAACUCCAACGAAUUUCUGACAAUAAUUAAUACUUAAUUCCUUAUAUCAGAAAUUCGGAGAAAAGGGAACGGUACCGCCGCUGUAGUUGGUGACGAACGUUGCAGAAACCACUGGAAAGUCAUUUAAACGGCUUGAACAGCUCAAACGGUUUAAACGGCUUCUCGGGAAGGUGCAACCAGUAGGAUGAUCCGCUAGUCAGAAGACCUGCCUGUAAUGAUUGCUGAAA